Molecule: long non-coding RNA, 441 nt
Filed under: Setaria viridis
Lineage: Eukaryota; Viridiplantae; Streptophyta; Magnoliopsida; Poales; Poaceae
Description: long non-coding RNA (SVIR_LNC002673)
Source: RNAcentral
AAUACUUAACCUAAAGACAAACAUACAAGAAUAUGGCACAUUCAUAAUAAAAAUCCACAAUAGUUCACAACGAAAGUCAAUAUACACAAUAGUUCACAACGUAAGUGCAUAUACACAGUAGUUCACAACGAAAGUCCAUAUACACAAUAGUUCACAACGAAAGUCCAGAAUAGUUAACAAUGAUCGUCCGUUCAUACUGAACGUCCACAAAGUUCAUAAUGAAAGUUCCCAAUAGUUCAUACACAUAAUAGUUAAAUAAUGAAAGUCCAUAUACACAAUAGUGCAUAAUAAAAGUCCACAAAGUCCAUAAAAGUCCAAACAAUUGAUAAUGAAAGUCCAUAAAGACCAUAAUGAAAGUCCAUAAUAGUAUAGCAGUAUCUACCAUAAAGUCCAUAAUAGUACACUAACAUCUACCACAAAGUCCACAAUAGUACCCUCACC